UACGUAGGGAGCAAGCGUUGUCCGGAUUUAUUGGGCGUAAAGAGCGUGUAGGCGGCCUGACAGGUCUGCUGUGAAAACUCGAGGCUCAACCUCGAGAUGUCGGCGGAAACCGUCUGGCUAGAGUCCGGAAGAGGAGAGUGGAAUUCCCGGUGUAGCGGUGAAAUGCGUAGAUAUCGGGAGGAACAUCAGUGGCGAAGGCGGCUACCUGGUCCAAUACUGACACUCAGGUGCGACAGCGUGGGGAGCAAACAGG
Molecule: ribosomal RNA, 253 nt
Filed under: uncultured bacterium
Lineage: Bacteria
Description: partial 16S ribosomal RNA
Rfam family: Bacterial small subunit ribosomal RNA
Source: RNAcentral